Long non-coding RNA from Catharus ustulatus (Swainson's thrush), 5417 nucleotides. RefSeq lists it as uncharacterized. The record is from RefSeq and is a predicted model, not a curated record. NCBI's taxonomy places the organism in Eukaryota, Metazoa, Chordata, Aves, Passeriformes, Turdidae. The transcript has 3 exons.
AAAGGCAGAGUUCAGUCGCUUGAGAAAGCUGAUGUCACCUUUGUAGGCAGGAACGACUUUAUCGCGGUUUCCAUAGCAACGAGUGGUGUUUUGGAGAGGCCCGGGAGGCGCUGUGAGCAGGCCCGAGCGCGGGCGCGCCGGAGUGUCCCCGCGCAGGUGCGGCCGGCCGGGCAGCGGGCAGCGAGCGCUCUUUGUGUGCCCUGCUAGCCUCCCGAAGGGGAAACAACGGGUCCAAAGGACAGCAAAGCGUUCUUCAGGCUUCAUUAAAACAAGCUGUAAGUAAGCAGAGUCCUGUGUUAGCAAAUACCUCAGAAACUGAACCAAGAUAGCGUUUUGGUGUCAGAGGGGUAAGAGAAAUGAGACCUCUCUUCCAACCUUUAAAAUAUGAAUUGGAAAAACACUGCCUGGUUUAUCAGUUUCUCUAUUUGCCAAACUCUCCCGAAAAGGAUCAAUUGGAAUUUUGCAAAAGGAAGAAAAUAACAGAUAGUUUAGAAUGGUUUACUGAAUUGAAUUUUAGAAGUAUCUUCUCCUGCAUCCCUGUGAGUGAGAAAGGCCAAGGACUCUUUGCUCUUACAUCGAAGGAUCCUGAAACAGGUGAAAAAAGCCCUAUCACUCAGACAAUUCUGCCUGACGGUUUAAGGUACAGCCCAACUGUAUUCAGAGAUCUGCUGGCAAAGAAGCUGGAGAGCUGGAGAAGUCAGCAAUUGAGAAUUGCUUCAUCCAACCAGCAGCCAAGAAUUGCUACAUCUAACAGUUGCGUGCAACCCACCGCCGCGGAAGAGGCCUAUUCCAGCAGACCAGACCUGAAGGAUGUGCCAGACUGAGAGCUGUGUGCAGAUGAAAGCAGCUUCGUGCGAGAUAGCAAACAAGCUACAGGUUAUGCAGUGACAACCAUGAACCAGGUAACCGGGCAACCAGGCAAAAGGCCUUGCCAUCAAAUGUAUCAGCACAGAGAGCUGAACUAAUUACAUCAAUGAAAGAUCUAGGACUGGGAGAAGUCAUCUGAAGGAAAGAAGACAGGCAACUAUUCAAGGCAUGCGGGGAACUGCGUAACUUGUUUGGAUGGGGUAGUGGAGAAGCACAUGGGGUUCAGUCGUUGCAAGACUGCCAGGAAACCAAGCUAAGUGCACUGAAACUUUCCUCAAAACCAACCAAAGGAGAGAAGAAGUGGACUUCAGCUGUAAAAUGAUAAUAUCCCUUCAGUGAUUUACUUUUUUAAAGUGUUUGCUGCUGGAGUGGAGCUUAUUAAAAGUGGGUACCUGAUUGACCAUGAUGCCCUGCUCCUGCUCAAUAUGCUUAAUUGUUUCAUUUAUGAAAAACUGACAUUUGCAAUGUAAUUAUUUUAAAUUAUUUGGGUUCUUUUAUGUCUAAAUGUGAAUAUUUUCAAAAGACCUUUUUUCAUUAAAAUAUAUAAAGCAAAUAAAUGCAAUAUAUUUUGGGCAUUACAUCAGAAGACUUUAGUUAGGUCUUUUUUUCCAUGUCACCUCCUAAGGGAAGUACACAUUAAAUUGCAUAGCUUGCAUGGCAAAAUAAGUACAGCUUUUCAUCACCAGUGGUUCUAAGAGAAAGCUUAGUUUUCUAGUGGGACAUACAAUCUUUUGCUGGAUGGACUUCUGAAAGCAAUCUAGAUGUUUCUCCAUUGAAUAAUUGUGAACACAAGGGAUGCUCUUCUAUUGCCCUUGAAAAGGCUCCCUGAAUGAGCUCCUGAGGAAUCUGGGCUGAAGAUUGCUUUCAGAUUUGUAACAGAUUGUUGUGUUUCUGAAGUAUUGUAUGUGUGUGCCUGCAUUGUGUGUAUAUAUAUGUGUGUGUGCAAGCAUAGAUACAAAAAAAUCCUCAUGGUCAAACGUCAGACAAGUGGUAUAUAGUAAAUGUUUUGGCUUAAAUUGGCAAAGAGGAAAUUAAAUGCUUCGAAGGAUUAUUAGGACAUUCUAAAAAUUUAAACAUUUAAACAAGAAUGGGAAAAAUAUGAGGCAAGACAAGAGGGUGAAAGAGAAAGGCAUGCAUGUAAAACCAAACCAAACAGGUAAGUGUCCUGCUUUCGGACUUUGGUAAACUUUCAGUGACUUGGUCUCAAUUGGCUGCCAAAUAUGACCAUUUUAAGACAUGCAGGACUUUAAAACCCAAGAAACACUUCACAUUAAUUAUUUAACAUUUUUCUCAAGUUCUCCCUUUCUCCUUCUAUAUGUUUCUUAAUACAUUUCUUAUAUAUGGACAUUUUUCUCCUACAUACUCCCGUCCCUUCCUAAUUUUCAUAAUACAGGGAUUUGAUUCAAAACCCACAGCUAUGUUAGGAAAGAGCUAGAAUCUGCAGCUUCUGGGAAAGGGGACUAGGAGUACUCUGCUCCCCAGGAAGAAGAAGGGUCAGGUUUUUUUUUCCUGGCUGCUACACAGCAAUUUUUGUUUUGUUAGCAAGCAUAUAAACCCUCCCACCUCCUUUCUUUUAAAUGGGUGGUGAAGGUAAUCUGGAUUUCUUUAGUUCUCUGAAAGAUCUUCAGCUAAAAUCCUGUAUCCUUAAAAGUGACUCCAAAAGUUACUCUGGAACCUCUGGAAUGACACGUUUUAGCAAGCAUAUACAAGACUGACUAUGUUCUUAAUAAGCAGCAGGUAGCUGAUAAGAAAAUCAAGUCUUUGCCGUCAAACUGGGUUAACGUUUACCAAAGUAAAGCCCUGGCCUGCCAGAAAAUGCUCAGAAGACAAAAGACUGCUGUGUCCUAGACACUCUGAAGCAAGGCCCUGCAUUUUCUUUUUUUUUUGGGGGUGGGGGGGACGGUUUGGGGAGCAGUUGUUCAGACCUUUUUGCUUACCUGCUAGUACUCCUUUGAGGAUGGUGUAUGAUUUUUGCUUAUGCUUCUGCCAAACAGCCCUCAGUAGUCCAAUUUAUAAGGUAGGCCUGGAGAGGCCUUAAAAUCAAGGUUAUGAUUAACUGGAGUGACUCUUGACUUUCAUCUAAACAGCCAUAUCUUUUGACGUGAGCUCAAAAUAUCUAUAUCCAGUAUACUUCAGACUCUUUAGAACAUUACUGCACACAGGUUCAUGUUAUUAUUCUUAGUUUAAUAUGUUUUUCAUACCUUUAUACAGCUGGUUGAAAUAUUUUUCUUGGAAACUAGUUGUCUAGGAAACAUUUCUUUUAUGUGGAUGGUUCAUUCUAAAAGUGAACCUAUAUGUUUGUAAACAUAAUACUUUGCAUAUUUUUUCUGGAUGACUUAAUAAAAACUAAGCCUUCAAGUUACUGAUACAUUGUUUAUAUCAACUAUUAUAUUUGUUUUCUAUUCAUAGUUCUUGUUUUCAUGGCUUUCGCAAUUUUAUUUUCUCAAGCUUGAAAACAACUGGAACAGAUCAUGGCAGUGUACUAAUAGCUACUAACCUUUCUUGAAGGCAAAUAUGGCUCCAGUUCCUUCUCCUCAGAUAGGAAUUUCUUCACUUGCAAAUAACAAGUUGUGCUAGGGAUUAAAAUGUUUCAGCCCAUUACCCAAGCCAUUUCUGAUUUUGCACUCCUUUGCUUAAAAGACUUAGAGACUGUACCCAAACAACAAAGUUUAGAUCCUGUCUGCAGCCAUUUUAGAAAUAUAAGUGAUUUGAGCAGUUGAGGUUUUUUGAUCUAUUUCUACAAUAAAGAAGGAAUUUUUUUUAAUGGAAUUUAUAAGGAAUUGCUCCCUUCAUCCAGUGUCUUGUGCCCAGGUGUGGUAAAUGAACUCUUGGAUACUGAGUUUUUCUAUCACAGGUAUCCCUUUUCCCACCUUUGGUGUGUAUUGUGCUACCCAUCACACCUCUCUGUCACUGAGUCAGUGAUGUCAGCAGCAACUGUGCCAGAUGACUGGGACUAUAGGGUACAUUUUUACUACAUGAAGCAGAUGCUCUUCUUUAUUUAACAUUGAUUAAAAAUCAAUCUGUCUUCUAAGUCUUCCCAUCUGCAAAACACAUAGGCUCAGGAAGUGCGGCUGGGAUUUUGAUUAAGUGCAUGUUUUCCUCUCCUCUUCUUUUAAAGGUAUGAAUGAAACAUGAGGAAAAUGACACCCAAACUUCCGUGGUGUGUGAAGAUUUUAAAAUACUCAGCCAAUUUUUUCCUUUCUUCUUUUCCUUCCUCAGCCAUAGUAGAUUAUUUCUUACAUCUGGGUUUCAGUAGAAACAGGAAGCUGAUGAAUCAAAUGUCCAUAGGGAUUGCCCUUAUGGAUUUUUAAAGCUGUUGGCAAGAAUGAGGUAAAUCACCUCAAACCUCAACUUUUGAGGUUUGGUGAAGAAUGCACUGCAAAAGGCUUCAGAGAACUUUGGAGGAAGUCCCCUGGCAGGGAGAUGGUCAUUGAAAUAAUGGAGUGAUCUAAAGUCACAGUUCCUUGAAGCCGAUUCUAACUGCAAUUAUCAGUCCUUAACUACGUCCGUUUUACAGAAAAUAUCCACCUCCCUCAGUGACAUCAUUAAUGGCUUGGAAAAAUAUUGUGGAGAACAUAAUUUAUCUUCCAAGGUCAUCACAAUUUUGAGACAAUUAUUCUUAUCUUCCUGAAAGGGAGGAGACAGUUUUAAGAGGGAGUGCAACUUCUGCUGUGCUGUAUGUGCUGAUCUAGCUAUUGACAAUGUUUGAAGGAAUUUUGCUGCAUUUUCCUGGGUGAGUGCUAGCCUAGCUGAAGGAUGGGAAACUGCAUGAAAUAAACUGGGAUUUUGUUAUAGGCCCAGGGAAGGCAAAACCUUAAAAACGCAGUUGCAAAUGCAUCUCCCAUGGACAGUUCUCUUACUCCAUGCAACCAGUCCUGUGCAUGUAUUACAGCAUAAUUAAAAGUCAAUUAAAACCAGCUUUCCUAGCAGUUUACUUGACACUUGCACUGUAAAAACAGGAAAUUGAAUUGUAUAGUGAAGAAUACUCAGUACACAAGUUAACACGAGCUAACUGAUUUAUGAAAAAACUGUCAUGAACAGAAUUGUGGUAUUUUACAGUAAAAAUAAUCUAUUUAAGACUCAUAGUUAAAUUCUUUUUCUAAAUAACAAGUAAAAUAGCAAAAUUAUUCUUAGUUUGAGUGGUUUUAUCUUUGGAGAGCCUAGUAAAGGAUGUUUUAUACGAGCUAUUGCAACAAAACCAACAUUCAAUAGAGGAAAAAGAAGACUAGAAUAAUCCAGUUGUGCCAUUAGAGAUGAUCAAAGUUUGGACAUUGGUUAUUUCAUCCAAAGGCUUGGUAAAAUACACUUGAAGACAUCAAGUCCCAGGUCUGAUUCAUGAAGUUCUAGGAUCGGCACAUGAAAACAAUGAACUGUAUGGCUUCAUCUUUCUUCCCCUUUCUCCAACAAAUGUAGAGAAGCUGGAAGUCUGGGUAAAUAAGGUCAGACAUAUCAAUCAAUUAAUUUAGGAAGAAGCUGUUUGCAAUUAAAAUAUAAAAAAUCCAAAAUGGUGGAUGUUUCUGUGUUUAGUGAAAAACACAACAAAGGUGGAA